Molecule: long non-coding RNA, 989 nt
Filed under: Salmo salar (Atlantic salmon)
Lineage: Eukaryota; Metazoa; Chordata; Actinopteri; Salmoniformes; Salmonidae
Description: lncRNA (ENSSSAG00000105084.1, ENSSSAG00000115831.1)
Source: RNAcentral
GCUUGGGGGUAGAAGCUGUUCAGCAGUCUGAUGGCUUGGGGGUAGAAGCUGUUCAGCAGUCUGAUGGCUUGGGGGUAGAAGCUGUUCAGCAGUCUGAUGGCUUGGGGGUAGAAGCUGUUCAGCAGACUGGUGGCUUGGGGGUAGAAGCUGUUCGGGAGCCUUUUGGUCCCACAUUUGGCACUCUGGUACCGUUCGUUGUGCAGUAGCAAAAUAACUGUCUAUAGCUUAGGUGGCUGGAGUCUGACACCGCCUGAUAUAGAGGUCCCAGUGAUGUACUGGGCCAUAUUCACUACCUUCUGUAGAAGAGCCAAGGACUCACAUUAUACUGUAGUCCUCAGAGAGAGAGAGAGAGAGAGAGAGAGAGAGACCUCUUCUGUUCUGUUCUGUUUGGGGGACGAGCUGUGUCAGUCUGCCCGCCUGAUGUUAAAGUGCUUAAGGCAGUAGGUCUAUGACUGCUACAUGUUAGGACGGCAGUAAUGUAGUCUAGACAGUCUUCUGGUAGGUCUAUGACUGCUACAUGUUAGGACGGCAGUAAUGUAGUCUAGACAGUCUUCCGGUAGGUCUAUGACUGCUACAUGCAGUCUUCUGGUAGGUCUAUGACUGCUACAUGUUAGGACAGCAGUAAUGUAGUCUAGACAGUCUUCUGGUAGGUCUAUGACUGCUACAUGUUAGGACGGCAGUAAUGUAGUCCAGACAGUCUUCUGGUAGGUCUAUGACUGCUACAUGUUAGGACAGCAGUAAUGUAGUCCAGACAGUCUUCCGGUAGGUCUAUGACUGCUACAUGUUAGGACAGCAGUAAUGUAGUCCAGACAGUCUUCCGGUAGGCGUGUAAAUUGCUCAUGCGUGUAAAUGACAUGUCGUCACUGUGGUACUGUGUUCUAGUCUAGUUAGAGAGCGUCUUGCUUUGUAAUGUUUUAUAAUGAUCUCCUGCACUAACAUGGCUCCAGGCUGCCCAGUGGAGAGUAACAUGGCUCCAUGCUGCCCAGUGG